AUUCUCCUGCUUCAGCCUGCCAAGUAGCUGAGACUACAGGUGUGCACUGCCACACCCGGCUAAUUUUUGUAUUUUUAGUAGAGACGGGUGUUCACCAUGUUGGCCAGGCUGGUCUCAAAAUACUGACCUCAGGUGAUCCACCCACCUUGGCCUCCCAAAUUGCUGGGAUUACAGGCAUGAGCCACCACGCCUGGCCAAGACCAGUAUCUGUUUUAUGUGUGUCUUUGAUAUGUGUGGAAAUGAGGAAAUUCAAGAAGUAAAUGGCAGGACCAUGAAAAUUCUUCCUUAGUUUCUACUUAAACAAAUUUAGAUUCAGCACAGUAUUUAGUAAACGGUGCAUGAUGGCAGGAGUCUAAAAGCUAACCUACAUUAGCUCAGAAGGUGUGGUCCACAGAAUGGACCUGGAAUGCCUUGGGCUACUGCCCUCAGUUGCAUUCUGUCCUACGAAAGAGCUCAUGGCUCAAGCUUUCCAAAUUAAUAAAUACAGAGUUUCUAAAAAUAUAAAAUAAAUAAGAGCAAAUUGCAACAGUAAAACCUUAAUAUCAACAAUCUGCUGUGGAGACUGAAGAAAUAUAUUCUCCAUCACUGACAUAUACCUCAUUUCUAUUAGCAGACAGUGAGUGAACGCUCAUUGUGAUUGUCAUUACAUUGCAGACUUUUACUACCCACUGUGGAUACUUUUGAAAAAUAUAUCUUGAUUGACUGAUAUUUCUUUCUCUCAUUUACCUCCUCUCCAUACCUAAAGAAGCUAUCCAGGGAAGAAAGAAAACUGGAUGUGUAAUUCUAUUUAAUUUGUUUUAUAUUUAUUCCUCAAAUCACUCGUUUCUUUGAAAUAAAACACAUUUUU
Molecule: long non-coding RNA, 847 nt
Filed under: Homo sapiens (human)
Lineage: Eukaryota; Metazoa; Chordata; Mammalia; Primates; Hominidae
Description: HSALNT0248377
Source: RNAcentral